CGUCAAAUCAUCAUGCCCCUUACGUCUUGGGCUACACACGUGCUACAAUGGGCGGUACAGACGGAAGCGAAGUCGCGAGGCGGAGCAAAUCUGAUAAAGCCGUUCCCAGUUCGGAUUGCAGGCUGCAACUCGCCUGCAUGAAGUCGGAAUCGCUAGUAAUCGCAGGUCAGCAUACUGCGGUGAAUACGUUCCCGGGCCUU
Molecule: ribosomal RNA, 200 nt
Filed under: uncultured prokaryote
Description: partial 16S ribosomal RNA
Rfam family: Bacterial small subunit ribosomal RNA
Source: RNAcentral